Non-coding RNA from Leptonychotes weddellii (Weddell seal), 402 nucleotides. NCBI's taxonomy places the organism in Eukaryota, Metazoa, Chordata, Mammalia, Carnivora, Phocidae. The record is from RefSeq and is a predicted model, not a curated record.
GGCUGAGAGAGCGCAGCCUGGGCCGCGGGCUGUUCGUGGACCCGGCGCGGGACAAUUUCCGCACCAUGACUAACCUCUAUGGUUCCAUCCAUCCCGCGGACUCGGUGUACCUCAGCACCCGCACCCACGGCGCGGUCUUCAACCUCGAGUACUCGCCCGACGGGCUUGUGUUUUUCUCACCGAAGCGUCUGGCAAGGGUAGGAGUCUGCAGGUUCCGUGUACUCUGUGCCUGACUUCCCUUGAGGGUUGACAAGUGUGCUUUCCUUGGCUCCUGAAGGAUACUAAGACGCGGCAGAGAGGUGUCUUAUGAUGGGGGCGUUUGUGAACUCCCCCGGCUAGACUACAUGCUUCUGUUACGGGUGUCCAGCCUUUUUCCUGGCGGAUUAAAUAUUUCAUGUUUGG